UACGUAGGUGGCAAGCGUUAUCCGGAAUUAUUGGGCGUAAAGCGUGCGCAGGCGGCUUCUCAAGUCAGGGGUGAAAGCCCAGAGCUCAACUCUGGAAUUGCCUUUGAGACUGAGUGGCUUGAGUACGGGAGAGGUGAGUGGAAUUCCCAGUGUAGAGGUGAAAUUCGUAGAUAUUGGGAAGAACACCGGUGGCGAAGGCGGCUCACUGGCCCGUAACUGACGCUCAUGCACGACAGCGUGGGGAUCAAACAGG
RNAcentral lists this ribosomal RNA (253 nucleotides) under uncultured bacterium. RNAcentral describes it as "partial 16S ribosomal RNA". It matches the Rfam family "Bacterial small subunit ribosomal RNA", at positions 524 to 776 of the family's 1533-position model. The record is from RNAcentral.